UGGGGAAUAUUGCACAAUGGGCGCAAGCCUGAUGCAGCCAUGCCGCGUGUAUGAAGAAGGCCUUCGGGUUGUAAAGUACUUUCAGCGGGGAGGAAGGGAGUAAAGUUAAUACCUUUGCUCAUUGACGUUACCCGCAGAAGAAGCACCGGCUAACUCCGUGCCAGCAGCCGCGGUAAUACGGAGGGUGCAAGCGUUAAUCGGAAUUACUGGGCGUAAAGCGCACGCAGGCGGUUUGUUAAGUCAGAUGUGAAAUCCCCGGGCUCAACCUGGGAACUGCAUCUGAUACUGGCAAGCUUGAGUCUCGUAGAGGGGGGUAGAAUUCUAGGUGUAGCGGUGAAAUGCGUAGAGAUCUGGAGGAAUACCGGUGGCGAAGGCGGCCCCCUGGACAAAGACUGACGCUCAGGUGCGAAAGCGUGGGGAGCAAACAGG
This 429-nucleotide ribosomal RNA is filed under the name Chloroflexota bacterium. Its description in RNAcentral is "Chloroflexi bacterium partial 16S ribosomal RNA". It matches the Rfam family "Bacterial small subunit ribosomal RNA", at positions 355 to 776 of the family's 1533-position model. The record is from RNAcentral. Lineage: Bacteria; Bacillati; Chloroflexota.